RNAcentral lists this ribosomal RNA (608 nucleotides) under Helix thessalica. Its description in RNAcentral is "partial 16S ribosomal RNA". It matches the Rfam family "Archaeal large subunit ribosomal RNA", at positions 1663 to 2690 of the family's 2987-position model. The record is from RNAcentral. Lineage: Eukaryota; Metazoa; Mollusca; Gastropoda; Stylommatophora; Helicidae.
AUUAUUUUUUUAUAGCGCAGUGUAAAAGCUGGCUAUAUGAAAACUUAGCAUUAAGUAUAAUAAUUUAUAUUUACUAUUAUGACAAUAAAAUUCUGUUGUUAUUUGAUAAUGUUAUUAUAAGUAGUAUUAAUAUAUGUGUUAAAGGAACUCGGCAAAGAACCACUCAACUGUUUAUCAAAAACAUAGCUGUGUGUAUUAAUACAUAGUAAUUUCUGCUCCAUGCUUAGUAAAUAGCCGCAGUACUCUGACUGUGCAAAGGUAGCAUAAUCAGUUGGCUUUUAAUUAAAGUCUGGUAUGAAUGAAAAUAUGGGUAGUAACUGUCUUAGCAUACUUAUUUGAAAUUACUGAGCAAGUGCAAAUACUUGUAAAUAAAAUAAUAGACGAGAAGACCCUAGAAACUUGAACUAGUUUUUGUUGGGGCGACAAAAUUACAGUUAACUAAUUUUAUAAUACAUGACGCAAAGUAGAAAGAAUAAGUUACUCUAGGGAUAACAGCAUAAUUUUUAAGUUUGUGACCUCGAUGUUGGACUAGGUACUGCACCCUUAAGACAGGGGUGUAUUAUGCUCUGUUCGAGCAGAUUUACCUACAUGAUCUGAGUUCAGACCGG